Molecule: unclassified non-coding RNA, 240 nt
Filed under: Glomeraceae sp.
Lineage: Eukaryota; Fungi; Glomeromycota; Glomeromycetes; Glomerales; Glomeraceae
Description: partial contains 5.8S ribosomal RNA and internal transcribed spacer 2
Rfam family: 5.8S ribosomal RNA (bases 1-71)
Source: RNAcentral
GUGAAUCAUCGAAUUUUUGAACGCAAAUUGCACUCUCUGGUAUUCCGGAGAGUAUGCCUGUUUGAGGGUCAGAUUAAAUAAAAAUCGGGGUGUUUGCUGCUUUUCGUGGUGACGCACCGGAUCUGGUUCGUCUUGCCGUCGGUUUAGUGACCUAAAAUUUUGCAUGAUUUUUUCGAACGUGUUUAAAUGAUUUUACGUACGUUUGCGAUAUCGAAUACUAGGUUCGGUUAUCCUCAUCAG